This 450-nucleotide ribosomal RNA is filed under the name uncultured bacterium. RNAcentral's name for it is "partial 16S ribosomal RNA". It matches the Rfam family "Bacterial small subunit ribosomal RNA", at positions 354 to 796 of the family's 1533-position model. The record is from RNAcentral.
GUAGGGAAUCUUCCACAAUGGACGAAAGUCUGAUGGAGCAACGCCGCGUGAGUGAAGAAGGUCUUCGGAUCGUAAAACUCUGUUGUUAGAGAAGAACGUGCAUGAUAGUAACUGAUCAUGUAAUGACGGUAUCUAACCAGAAAGCCACGGCUAACUACGUGCCAGCAGCCGCGGUAAUACGUAGGUGGCAAGCGUUGUCCGGAUUUAUUGGGCGUAAAGGGAACGCAGGCGGUUUUUUAAGUCUGAUGUGAAAGCCUUCGGCUUAACCGAAGAAUAGCAUUGGAAACUGGAAGACUUGAGUGCAGAAGAGGAGAGUGGAAUUCCAUGUGUAGCGGUGAAAUGCGUAGAUAUAUGGAGGAACACCGAUGGCGAAGGCAGCCCCCUGGGAUAACACUGACGCUCAUGCACGAAAGCGUGGGGAGCAAACAGGAUUAGAAACCCGAGUAGUCC